Long non-coding RNA from Dreissena polymorpha, 216 nucleotides. RefSeq lists it as uncharacterized. The transcript is spliced from 4 exons. The record is from RefSeq and is a predicted model, not a curated record. Lineage: Eukaryota; Metazoa; Mollusca; Bivalvia; Myida; Dreissenidae.
CGGAGGGAUAGCGCAUAACCUUCUCUUCUUUUAUAAAUACUACAUCUACACCGAUCGACGGUACAAUGACAUGCACGAUUCAUACGUCCUGACUCAAAGCUUAAUGAAUUACGUCGAAGUGAUACUGAACAUUGUGGUGUUAUAUUGUAAGCAGUUCUCCUCCCAGCUCCGAAUAUGUUGGUUGCGGUCAGUGAUCGCCUCCCCAGUGAUUGGUGC